RNAcentral lists this long non-coding RNA (780 nucleotides) under Gossypium raimondii (Peruvian cotton). RNAcentral's name for it is "long non-coding RNA (GRAI_LNC004313)". The record is from RNAcentral. Lineage: Eukaryota; Viridiplantae; Streptophyta; Magnoliopsida; Malvales; Malvaceae.
UGGAAUGGUGGAUGAAACGCCGGCAACUACCAUCUCGUUUGAGACAACGAGUCCGCCAUUACGAACGCCAAAAAUGGGCGACCUUGGGCGGAGAAGACGAAAUGGAACUGAUCAAAGACUUACCCGAAGGCCUCCGGAGAGACAUUAAACGCUUCCUUUGCCUUGACCUCAUCAAGAAGGUCCAAACAUAAUUUAACCUAUAACAUGGCAUCAUAAUUUCAACAUGUCCAUGAGCCUGAUUGCAUCAAACUCAAAUAUAUUUAUUCAAGCUUGGCCUGAUUGCUUGCAUCUCUUUCAUUUCAGGUUCCUUUAUUCCAUAACUUGAAUGAUCUUAUUCUGGAUAACAUCUGUGAUCGAGUUAAGCCGCUCGUAUUCUCUAAAGAUGAAAAGGUUUGAGCUUUACCUACCUUGUUAAAAGAGCUAUUCAAAAUUUUGUUCAUCUUGUAAUUGUUCCCAUAAAACAGAUAAUUAGAGAAGGUGAUCCAGUACAAAGAAUGGUGUUUGUCGUUCGUGGACGUAUAAAACGUAUCCAAAGCCUUAGCAAAGGCGUGGUUGCCACAAGUUUAAUCGAGUCAGGAGGCUUCCUAGGUGACGAAUUGUUGUCAUGGUGUCUUCGCCGACCAUUUAUCGACCGUCUUCCAGCCUCGUCCGCAACAUUUGUUUGUGUAGAGCCGAUUGAAGCAUUCAGUCUCGACUCAAACCAUCUCAAAUACAUUACAGAUCACUUCAGGUAUAAAUUUGCCAAUGAGAGACUUAAAAGAACAGCAAGAUACUAUUCAU